UACGUAGGGACCGAGCGUUGUCCGGAUUCAUUGGGCGUAAAGAGCUCGUAGGCGGCUGCUCAAGUCGAAUGUGAAAACUCGAGGCUCAACCUCGAGCCUGCAUUCGAUACUGGGCGGCUAGAGUCUGGUAGGGGGAUCUGGAAUUCCUGGUGUAGCGGUGGAAUGCGCAGAUAUCAGGAGGAACACCGGUGGCGAAGGCGGGAUCCUGGGCCACAACUGACGCUGAGGCGCGAAAGCUAGGGGAGCAAACAGG
Molecule: ribosomal RNA, 253 nt
Filed under: uncultured bacterium
Lineage: Bacteria
Description: partial 16S ribosomal RNA
Rfam family: Bacterial small subunit ribosomal RNA
Source: RNAcentral